Phoenix dactylifera (date palm) is the source of this 2744-nucleotide non-coding RNA. The record is from RefSeq and is a predicted model, not a curated record. Lineage: Eukaryota; Viridiplantae; Streptophyta; Magnoliopsida; Arecales; Arecaceae.
CAGUUCUCUUUUCCAGUUCGAUGAACAGUCUGGUUUUGAAAACAUUAAUGGAAUGGGUGAAAUCAUCAUUAUUAUUGUUGGAUUGCCAGUGCUUGUAUUGUGCUUUUGGAUGUCCAAGCAACCUUGCCUGCCCUCCUUUUUUGAUAGAUGCUGGAGCUUUAAUGGGACCAUUUUUUGAUAGAUGCACUAGCUGCAAAGGUUGUGCGUCCAACAAAAGGAGUGCAUUUACGAUCAUUCUGAAAUCUAUGGAAGCUAUUAUAUCAGUUGCAAAAGACUGUUCAUCAACACUGAAGGGAAAAAAAAAAUCUACGUUUGCCUAUGAACAUCUGCAUAAAAAAUUUGUAUUAUUUACACAGGCUCCCAAUAUCUAAUGGGUUUUAUGUCAUAUCAACAGGGUAAAUUGUUGAGUUGGUAAUUUGGUCCCAACUUGCCAUAAUCAGCUGCGCUUCUUGCUUAUUCUAUGCAGAGAAUUUCUGAACUCUUUCAAGAAUAUCAGUUUAUAUUUCGCCAUAUAUUGUUCAUAUUAUCUCUGUAUAAAAAACUCUUACUUAUUAGAUUAUGUUUACCUCUCAGAAAAACGAACUAGUUAUUUCCUUCUUAAAAUUUCUGUUUCCUUUUAUCUUAUUAGAUUUUUGGUUGUUGGAUAGGCAUCUAAAGGUAAAAAGGCUUAUGGGGUUGAAUGUUCGACUUUUGUUCUGAUUAUGCAACCUGACUAAUACAUUCCAAUGGCGGAUUCUUCUGAUAGACUCUAGAGCGAUUUUUGUCCGUGGUGUCAUGGACACAGUUUGUAAUAGUUUUAUUUAAUUGCACUACCAAUUUGUGACCUAUAAGUAGCCUCAUGAAUUAUGAAAAUAUCAAAGCUGCUUGAGAGCCCCACCUAACCAAUGGCCUUCCCGAGGUGCUGUGCGUGUUCCAGUAGGGGGGUUUAUUUGGUAGACUCUAUAGCUUUCUUAUAUAUGUCAUAGAGAUGACUUGCUAAUGUUUUAUUUGAUUGAAAAAUUAACGUCUGACCUAUGAGAGUUCCCCUUACCAAAUGGAUUUUCAGAGGUCUUCUCUCUCUCUCUCUCUGAGUGCAAGCACGCGCAUGUGUGACAAAUAUUCACACCUUUUACACUGAACUCAGAACUGUAUGCAGUGUUUAUUAGAAGUUCUGAAUUAUACAGUUUCAAAUUUUGAGCGGCAACAUGUUCUGAUUGUUCUCCUAGUUCAGACUGUACCUGUACUUACAGUUUUGUGCCUAUUAUUUCUAAAAUAGCUUUUGUAUUAUUUUAUGAAAUUAAGUUUCAAAUCUUUGCUGCAAGCACUCAGGACAGUCUGAUCAUUCACAGGUUUCCUAUGCUGAGGUUGAUGACAACUAUUGCAGUUUCUGAAUGUGGACACAAAGAUUUGUUUGACAUGCAAAGUUUGAACGACAUCAAUGAAAUCUUUAGGAGGAAUCAGUGAAACAACAUCAAUUCAAAUCCUGAAUUUUCGAAUUGAGAGAGAUUAAGAAUUCUCACCAUUUCUUAGAUUCAUGGAUCAAAUUUGAUUCAUUGGGAUCUUUCCCUUACAUUUUUCCCCACCAAGAACGUUUUAUGAAACUCUGACCUCCGAAUUUGGAGUAUCUUACUUUCACGUGAUUCACAGGGUUCAACAAGCAAUUGAUAUUUCACGAUCAAAGGUGUAGUAUUGCUUGUAAUAGCGGUCUUUAUAUCUCGUAUUAACAAUCGAAAGAUGGUCGAAAGGAAAAAUCUGAAUUAGAUUGGGCUAUUUUGAAAUCCGAUGGUGUUUUUUGUAGCAGUUUAAGGGGUUGGUUCAUUUUUGGGCAUGCUACGUUUGCUUUGCUCUUCUUUUUUGGACACAUUUGGCAUGGUGGUAGAAUCUUGCUUAGAGAUGUUUUUGCUAGUAUUGAUCCAAAUUUGGAUGCUCAAGUGGAGUUUGGAACAUUUCAAAAACUUGGGGAUCCAACUACAAGGAGACAGAUAGUCUGAUACAACAUUGCUCUGGUAUCUUUCGCCUCUAUUUUUUUUGAUUUGACAUAAGGUACCGGAGAAAUCUUAACAUAAGGUACCAGUUGAUCCAAGGCACUCUUUCUUCCAUUCACGAAUGCAGUUUCUGAAUGAGGACACAAAGAUUUGUUUGACAUACAAAGUUUGAACUUUGUAGAAAAUUUCACUGGUUCAUUUUAGGAUCUGUUUUUAAUUGAAUUGGUCAACUUAAUUACUAACUUGCAAUUUACAGUGCUGGUUUUAUAGUGAUGAGAUUCUUAAUUUUCCGGAAGAAGACGCCUCAUCAUCCGAAACUAUGUGAUCGCGACUUUAAUACCUUUCAGAUUGUGGGUUCACCGACAUAUUCACGGUUAUGAUUCUGGCCUCAUAAGUGCAACCAGACAUGCCUAAGAGAAGGCUUUGUUAGUGACAUUGGUGAAGCUACACCAUGUCGAGUUCGUUGUGGUUCCCUAACCUGCUAACAGGUCAGUCUUCUUUGACCAAGCCCAUUGAUGGUUGGGUUAGAGCAACCUCCAUUGACUCUAGGAGGAGGUGAGUUGGGAAUAAGUGAGGAAGAGAGGAGAAAAUGGGGUGAUGGAAACCAAUAGGAUAAUAGCCAAUGUGCUUAAGGGUUGGUUGGCCAAUGGAGAAGGGGAGAGGGGAAGGACUGAGUCAGUUGCCAUUAGUUGAAAUUAAAUGAACCAAAUCUUGUACUUGGUUCAUGAGCUGAAAAUUAAUUUCUUCAUUACUAAUAUAAAAGCUGUUUUUGGAGGCUUA